ACUCAAAUGAAUAGACGGGGGCCCGCACAAGCGGCGGAGCAUGUGGAUUAAUUCGAUGCAACGCGAAGAACCUUACCUGGGUUUGACAUGCACAGGAUGCUCGUAGAGAUACGGGUUCCCUUGUGGCCUGUGUGCAGGUGGUGCAUGGCUGUCGUCAGCUCGUGUCGUGAGAUGUUGGGUUAAGUCCCGCAACGAGCGCAACCCUUGUCUCAUGUUGCCAGCACGUGAUGGUGGGGACUCGUGAGAGACUGCCGGGGUCAACUCGGAGGAAGGUGGGGAUGACGUCAAGUCAUCAUGCCCCUUAUGUCCAGGGCUUCACACAUGCUACAAUGGCCGGUACAAAGGGCGGCGAUGCCGUGAGGCUUAGCGAAUCCUUUAAAGCCGGUCUCAGUUCGGAUCGGGGUCUGCAACUCGACCCCGUGAAGUCGGAGUCGCUAGUAAUCGCAGAUCAGCAAUGCUGCGGUGAAUACGUUCCCGGGCCUUGUACACACCGCCCGU
This 498-nucleotide ribosomal RNA is filed under the name uncultured bacterium. Its description in RNAcentral is "partial 16S ribosomal RNA". It matches the Rfam family "Bacterial small subunit ribosomal RNA", at positions 899 to 1397 of the family's 1533-position model. The record is from RNAcentral.